RNAcentral lists this ribosomal RNA (449 nucleotides) under uncultured bacterium. Its description in RNAcentral is "bacterial SSU rRNA". It matches the Rfam family "Bacterial small subunit ribosomal RNA", at positions 329 to 792 of the family's 1533-position model. The record is from RNAcentral.
UCCCAGACUCCUACGGGAGGCAGCAGUGGGGAAUAUUGGGCAAUGGAGGCAACUCUGACCCAGCAACGCCGCGUGAAUGAUGAAGGUCUUCGGAUUGUAAAGUUCUUUUCUAAGGGAAGAAGAAAGUGACGGUACCUUAGGAAUAAGCCUCGGCUAACUACGUGCCAGCAGCCGCGGUAAUACGUAGGAGGCAAGCGUUAUCCGGAAUGACUGGGCGUAAAGGGUGCGUAGACGGCAGCGCAAGUCUGAAGUGAAAUGCCGGGGCUUAACCCCGGAACUGCUUUGGAAACUGUGCAGCUAGAGUGCGGGAGAGGUAAGUGGAAUUCCUAGUGUAGCGGUGAAAUGCGUAGAUAUUAGGAGGAACACCAGUGGCGAAGGCGGCUUACUGGACUGUAACUGACGUUGAGGCUCGAAAGCGUGGGGAGCAAACAGGAUUAGAUACCCUUGUA